This 87-nucleotide small nucleolar RNA is filed under the name Myotis davidii. RNAcentral's name for it is "Small nucleolar RNA SNORD115". It matches the Rfam family "Small nucleolar RNA SNORD115". From Rfam's summary of the family: HBII-52 is a member of the C/D class of snoRNAs, which contain the C (UGAUGA) and D (CUGA) box motifs. The record is from Rfam by way of RNAcentral. Lineage: Eukaryota; Metazoa; Chordata; Mammalia; Chiroptera; Vespertilionidae.
GGGUCAGUGAUGAGAACGCAUUGUCUUGAAGAGAAAUGGUGACCAAAGUAACGUUCAGUAACGUUCAGUGUGAGUGAUCUGAGGCCC